UGUGUGUGUGUGUGUGUGUGUGUGUGUGUGUGUGUGUGUGUGUGUGUGUGUAGCAGCAGGUGGACACAGCAUGUUAAAUCCGUGUUGCCCCCCUGGGCUGCUCUGACGUACUCUACCCUGCUGCCUUGGCAGCAACACAGGAUCCACAGUAACUCCUCAUAUUCCAUCCUAUUGUUUAUUAGGCUGAUUCCUCUAAGCAACACUACGAUCAAUCCUAGAAAUGAUCAACUGAUCUGAGGAAAACUGAUCUGAGGAAAACUGAUCUGAGCUCGUAAUUGUGAAAGUAAAAAGGCACACACAUCAGCUAGGGCUGAAGGUUUCCAUAGUGAGACAGACAGAACACAGCUCUUCCUACAGGGCUGAAGGUUUCCAUAGUGAGACAGACAGAACACAGCUCUUCCUACAGGGCUGAAGGUUUCCAUAGUGAGACAGACAGAGCACAGCUCUUCCUACAGGGCUGAAGGUUUCCAUAGUGAGACAGACAGAACACAGCUCUUCCUACAGGGCUGAAGGUUUCCAUAGUGAGACAGACAGAACACAGCUCUUCCUACAGGGCUGAAGGUUUCCAUAGUGAGACAGACAGAGCACAGCUCUUCCUACAGGGCUGAAGGUUUCCAUAGUGAGACAGACUGAACACAGCUCUUCCUACAGGGCUGAAGGUUUCCAUAGUGAGACAGACAGAGCACAGCUCUUCCUACAGGGCUGAAGGUUUCCAUAGUGAGACAGACAGAGCACAGCUCUUCCUACAGAGUUAGUAUUCAGUCUGCUAUAGCUAAACAUUGUUUUGAUUAAUUUACCCCAAACCAUCUUACUGUGUGAAAUUUGAGAAACUGUAGGUUCAUUCAAAUAUAUGAGUUACAGAGAGCUGUUCUAGGUGCUGGAUAUCUGAGAUAUUGUCAACCCUAUAUGUAUAUGUAUGUCCAAGUUGCUGAAUUCAAUGUUGUUUUCUCCUAUUUAUUUUUUUAGUACAGUGUCCAUGUUUUGCAUAUACACGGCAUUGCUAUGUGCUCAAGUUCACUCCAUGGGCUGAAACAUGUGAACUAAAUUGCAUUUGAGCAUGUUUUUUUUCUCUGUAAGAUAUCCUAUUUAGAGAACAAUCUUAUCAGCGUCAACAUCAUUGUCCAAUUUAAGCUACAUUUGGGACAAAAUACUUUUUAAAAUUUUAUGACAUGGUACACCGUACUCUUUAUUAUUUAAAUGAAUACAAAUCAAAGCAUUUGAGAGAAAAAAUGUAAUUCCUACAUUUUUAUAUAUCUUUUUGCUCCUAUAGUCAAGACUAAGAUGAUGACCCUAAUGAUAGAGAUUCUAUGUAUGGGAAAAUACAGUCCUUUCAUUGAUGAGAUUCUAUGUAUGGGAAAAAUACAGUCCUUUCAUUGAUGAGAUUCUAUGUAUGGGAAAAAUACAGUCCUUUCAUUGAUGAGAUUCUAUGUAUGGGAAAAUACAGUCCUUUCAUUGAUGAGAUUUUAUGUAUGGGAAAAUACAGUCCUUUCAUUGAUGAGAUUCUAUGUAUGGGAAAAUACAGUCCUUUCAUUGAUGAGAUUCUAUGUAUGGGAAAAAUACAGUCCUUUCAUUGAUGAGAUUCUUUGUUCAUUAGAGAUGUCAAGAUGAUGAAUGUUUCCUAGAAUUACAGUGAUGUUUGCGUUCAUACUGCUAAUUUGAGAUUAUCCAGUUUAUGUUGUUGAAUCACGUCAUGAUGAUUAUUUAACAACCUCAUCAGCAUAUAUUUGUGCUAGCUUUGUGAUUUCAUGAGAAAUGGUGAACUAUGUAGAAUUCCAAUAGACAAAGGCAAAGCAGCUCAAUAAUUAAUGUGUGUAUACGGAAUGCAUGCGAGGGAAUUGCUAUCUGCAGUAUUCCUAAUUUGACAGCACAUUUUGGGAAUGCAGCACUAUGGUCUGUGCAUUUCUACCCUGUCAAGAUGUCACCCAUAGUUGUUCACUGACAGAGAGCUAAGCUGAGAGGAGAGAUGCACACUGACACUGUCCACACUCCACAGACUGUUCUCAUGGUUUCAUUCAUACUUACCAGCCAUGUAUUUAGAGAGGUUUCUGCAUUAUGAUGCAUUUACAUGACACUUCAACAUUCUAUGGCAGCCAUGUUAGCUCCCCAUUAACGUCACAUGGGGAAUAUUUAAAUAUUGCUAUGUAACUGUAUGUCUAGAAUUAGAACAAUAUACAAAAUUGUAAAUGUUGGCCCAACUUUGUAAAUAUAUUGCUCUGAUACCAAGCUCCUUCACUCAGUGCUAACUCUAUAGAAUCUCUAUAGACAACGUUUACUGCUGAGACAUUUAAGUGAUAAUGGAUAUGCUGGUGUUUGGAGGAUAUAUUGUUACAGGUGUUGUUAGGCCCGAGAUGAAGUCGAGGGCCGGCAAACUGCCAAUAUAUCCUCCAAACACCGGCUUUGAGGGCAUUAUCACUUUUAUACAACAGGUUACCAACAUAUUCAAAUAAUGAUUGACAUAUUUUCAUUUAAAAUGUUAUUUUGAUUAAUUUAUUCAUACUAUUUCAUCCUUCCACAGAUAUAGUACCGACAGAUAUCUAGGGUUGCUACCCAAGCCGCCUAGUCGUUCAUUCUAUUGGUUCGGUUGCCAGAGACGAGACCCAGUCGUUCAGUCUUUUUGUUCUAAAUGUUCCAUUUCUAUACUGGCUGGCAACGUUCUUAUCCCUUGCUUGCUAGCUAGCCAACUACAGCUAACUUACAGUCACAUUAAACUUCAAAAAGAAUAACAACAGUAUCUGCAUUUGCAUUUGUUUAAUCUGUUUUCUAGUGACAUUUAUUUGGAUACAUUCAUAACAAUGAACUAAUGAAGCGCGAUUUCGCCUGGCAUAGAAAAUGUGCUCUCUCAUCAGGUCACUGUUGUUCAGAGGAGCUAGCCAACAACACAGCUAACACAAUCACUUCAAACACUGAAGCUGGAAAGACUGCAAACUAGUUGCACUUUGUUUCGUUCUACCUUUUUCCAGUUGACAUUUCUUUGUAUAUAUCCAUAAAAAUGAUGCCAGCUGAUUCAUGACUUCGACAGGCUGAGAAACGCUGCUUGCCUGUCUGUCUCAGCAAGGUUUAAACAAAUCUCCGCUGUUGAAAACUAAAUGCUAGUCUAAAAGAAAUGUGAGAUAAUGUCUAGAUUAAUUUUAUAGUGCAGAUCAAGUGUAUAAAUUGCCUGGCAGGGCUGAUGAGACAGUGGCUUGUGCAGUCAGAUGGAACAGAGUAAAUAGGCAUUUUAACAUCAUAGAUUUAGCUGGUGGUAACUUGUGGAAUAGACACCGGCUGGAAUGCGCUUUUAACCAAUCAACAUUCAGUAUUAGACCCACCCGUUGUAUAACAUCUGAUAACCAACCGUGUCUGUUGCUCUCCUGACUUAGUGGGCUUUGGGUUUGGUUUCAGGUUUAGCUGCUUUCUCUGGUGAGAAGAAGUGUAGAAUGUAACAUGAUGCUAUCGAUAUGAUAUUGGAGAUGGUUUCUGUUGAUAUUUGAUGAUAUAUUUAGUCGUUUCAUUCAGCUUUGUAAAACGUGAGAACAUAUGGUAACAGCUGUUUAGAAACAUGUUUAUUUUUGGAGGAGUGUGGAGUCUAGCCGACAGAGCAGUGUUUCCCAAACGGUGGGUCGGGGCCCUCUGGUGGGUCGCAGCCAGUUACUCUUGGUCCCAGCUGGGCUUAGGUGGGUCACAAAGGUUUGGGAUCCACUGGCCUGUGGUAUGUAAGGUAGGAAACGUGACCAGUUUUUGCUUUCAUUUUCUUGCCAUUGCUGAAUCAUUGUGUAAAUGUACUGCAGAGUACCUUCUGAAUCAUUAUUAAAAACCUGGAAUGUACA
Non-coding RNA from Salmo salar (Atlantic salmon), 3806 nucleotides. The record is from RefSeq and is a predicted model, not a curated record. Lineage: Eukaryota; Metazoa; Chordata; Actinopteri; Salmoniformes; Salmonidae.